GUGUACGUACAAGCAGUGGGAGCACAGGUUUACCUGUGUGACUGCGUACCUUUUGUAUAAUGGGUCAGCGACUUAUAUUCUGUAGCAAGGUUAACCGAAUAGGGGAGCCGGAGGGAAACCGAGUCUUAAUUGGGCGUUAAGUUGCAGGGUAUAGACCCGAAACCCGGUGAUCUAGCCAUGGGCAGGUUGAAGGUUGGGUAACACUAACUGGAGGACCGAACCGACUAAUGUUGAAAAAUUAGCGGAUGACCUGUGGCUGGGGGUGAAAGGCCAAUCAAACCGGGAGAUAGCUGGUUCUCCCCGAAAGCUAUUUAGGUAGCGCCUCGUGAAUUCAUCUCCGGGGGUAGAGCACUGUUUCGGCUAGGGGGCCAUCCCGGCUUACCAACCCGAUGCAAACUGCGAAUACCGGAGAAUGUUAUCACGGGAGACACACGGCGGGUGCUAACGUCCGUCGUGAAGAGGGAAACAACCCAGACCGCCAGCUAAGGUCCCAAAGUCAUGGUUAAGUGGGAAACGAUGUGGGAAGGCCCAGACAGCCAGGAUGUUGGCUUAGAAGCAGCCAUCAUUUAAAGAAAGCGUAAUAGCUCACUGGUCGAGUCGGCCUGCGCGGAAGAUGUAACGGGGCUAAACCAU
This 633-nucleotide ribosomal RNA is filed under the name Salmonella enterica subsp. enterica. RNAcentral describes it as "partial 23S ribosomal RNA". It matches the Rfam family "Bacterial large subunit ribosomal RNA", at positions 558 to 1190 of the family's 2925-position model. RNAcentral also lists the same sequence under 2 other names. Lineage: Bacteria; Pseudomonadati; Pseudomonadota; Gammaproteobacteria; Enterobacterales; Enterobacteriaceae. The record is from RNAcentral.